RNAcentral lists this small nucleolar RNA (145 nucleotides) under Tupaia belangeri (northern tree shrew). Its description in RNAcentral is "Small nucleolar RNA SNORA48 (ENSTBEG00000020732.1)". It matches the Rfam family "Small nucleolar RNA SNORA48". Rfam says of the family: The snoRNA ACA 48 has been identified to guide pseudouridylation of the residue U3797 in the 28S rRNA subunit. Its host gene EIF4A1 (eukaryotic translation initiation factor 4A1) is shared with U67 and snoRNA mgU6-77 Lineage: Eukaryota; Metazoa; Chordata; Mammalia; Scandentia; Tupaiidae. The record is from RNAcentral.
GCCCCCUGGCAAUGGGCAAAGAGACACCUCCUUGGUGGUGAUCUUCUUUUAUCAGUCAGGGGGAAAGCAGACAGACAGUCCUUUGUUCAUCCUAGCUUGAUGCCUGGGUUGGUGGCCAGAGCUGUUUCAUGCCUGGGGCACAUAA